Long non-coding RNA from Pelodiscus sinensis (Chinese soft-shelled turtle), 207 nucleotides. RefSeq lists it as uncharacterized. The record is from RefSeq and is a predicted model, not a curated record. NCBI's taxonomy places the organism in Eukaryota, Metazoa, Chordata, Testudines, Trionychidae.
CCACUGAUUGUGCCUGGGAGCGGCAGGAGGCAUGGGGCCAGGUUGGCCACCUGGAGGAGCAGCUGCAAUGUCACUCUCUUUGAUUCACAGUACUGCAAGGAAAGAUUCUCAGCUGGAAUGGCCAGAAGAUAAACAUUGUCUACAGAAAAAUGUUACAGACACACAGGAAAAAUAAGUGAAGUAUAAUAAACAAAAAAGUCUCCUGAA